AAGCCACAUGGCUUUUGUUUGAAAGAUGGCUUUGGCUAUCACUCUGGGAUGGACCUGCGGUGCAUUAGCUAGUUGGUAAGGUAACGGCUUACCAAGGCGAUGAUGCAUAGCCGAGUUGAGAGACUGAUCGGCCACAAUGGAACUGAGACACGGUCCAUACUCCUACGGGAGGCAGCAGUAGGGAAUCUUCCACAAUGGGCGCAAGCCUGAUGGAGCAACACCGCGUGAGUGAAGAAGGGUUUCGGCUCGUAAAGCUCUGUUGUUGGAGAAGAACGUGCGUGAGAGUAACUGUUCACGCAGUGACGGUAUCCAACCAGAAAGUCACGGCUAACUACGUGCCAGCAGCCGCGGUAAUACGUAGGUGGCAAGCGUUAUCCGGAUUUAUUGGGCGUAAAGCGAGCGCAGGCGGUUGUUUAGGUCUGAUGUGAAAGCCUUCGGCUUAACCGAAGAAGUGCAUCGGAAACCGGGCGACUUGAGUGCAGAAGAGGACAGUGGAACUCCAUGUGUAGCGGUGGAAUGCGUAGAUAUAUGGAAGAACACCAGUGGCGAAGGCGGCUGUCUGGUCUGCAACUGACGCUGAGGCUCGAAAGCAUGGGUAGCGAACAGGAUUAGAUACCCUGGUAGUCCAUGCCGUAAACGAUGAGUGCUAGGUGUUGGAGGGUUUCCGCCCUUCAGUGCCGGAGCUAACGCAUUAA
Molecule: ribosomal RNA, 695 nt
Filed under: Limosilactobacillus reuteri
Lineage: Bacteria; Bacillati; Bacillota; Bacilli; Lactobacillales; Lactobacillaceae
Description: bacterial SSU rRNA
Rfam family: Bacterial small subunit ribosomal RNA
Source: RNAcentral